Molecule: long non-coding RNA, 2123 nt
Organism: Meriones unguiculatus (Mongolian gerbil)
Lineage: Eukaryota; Metazoa; Chordata; Mammalia; Rodentia; Muridae
Source: Ensembl
GGGCACGGCGUCGGUUGGCCUCACCAAGCAGGCCUAGGCUCGCGGAGCGCGGGGCCCGGCGGAGUCCCUGUGCUCGCCCGCCAGCCUGCCAACUACUCCCCACACUCACCAGGACCGCUCGCUCCCGGGUUCGUUACCGGCGGCCCAAAGCGGCUACGAGCCAACCAAGACAGCGCUCAGUCACCGGCUAGCUCUAGUUUGGGGCUGGAACGUCCUGACCACGGCGUGAUGACGUUACCCGGAGGUCUGUGCCCGCCCCGUGCCGCCCUCAGCCAAUAGCUACCACCGCUCGGCUUGAACCGCCCUCUACUCGCCCCGCCUACGCAACCGCGUGUGGGCGUGGCUGGCAAGCCGGAAGCUGGGCUUGGACGGUGGCCCCAUGGGGACAAGUGUCGCAAGCCUCGCAGCCCUUUCUGCGUGCGUACAACGUAGUUUUGACUCAGUGUACGGUAGUCAUUAGCCCUAAAAUGGAAAGUCUAGAGACAGGAGUUGUGCGGCUGCGCGUUGUGCUGUGACGUAAAAGAAAAGAAAAAAAGAAAAGGUGCGUGUGUGGCGAGGAGAGUGGGAUAAAGAUGAAUCCUCCCCUGGAAGGCUUGCUUAGUGAAUAAACUUGGAAUGGCGCACCUUGCGUGGGGAACAGCGAAAGCCGACGAAAGGAAGCAGGAAAUACGCGUCGCUUGGAGAAUGGGAGUAGCCAUUGGACUAUGACUCUGGAAAGUUCAACGAGUCAAGUGAUUUGCCCACAUCAACACAGCGAUGCCAGGACUGGGGCCCAGAGGCAUCCAACCAACCACUGUGUGAGACUCUUCAGGGUAUAUCCCUGGUGCUUCUGUAUCCUACUGCCAUUCUGUCACAUUCAGCUUGAGGAUCCUGCUCUACCAACGUCCGCUACAGAACUGUUGAUCUUCCAGAGUUGUGCUACGCAGAUUACUUCUUUUUGUGGACUUUGUGUCUGCAGGGUUUAACUGAACCAAGUGUUGCCUGGGUAAAGGUUUCCACACAUCUUAGUUACCUGUUCAUCUCUUUCUAAGCUUGUUCCCUAAAGGGUCACCUGGUCAAGAGAUGUGGUUUCCAUUUUCUCACAUGUAAGCAGGGUUUUCUUUUUUGUUUUAUUCACAUAACUGUUGAUUCACAGCAGCAUGUUUUGAGAACCUUUUCCCUGGUUUUCCAGACUACUCCAGUCAACACCCAUUUUAAUGUCACAAUAACUAGGUAUUAGAGAGAGGGAAGUAGCACAAUUGUGUUGUUGAAUCAUUAGAAUUUUAACAAGUUUAUCAAUUUGUCUUCAGGUUUUUGCUUCCUCGUAUGUUCGUCUCAGCUGCUUAUUAAAUUGAGUUUGUCUUUUUGUUAGAGAAAUUGAAGCUUUUGUGAAUUAUGCUUAUCUAUUAACACUAAUAGUUUUCUUUGUCAUAUGUACUAAUUCUUUUUAACAAAACUUCAUAGGUAUCGUUAUAUAGACAAUACAUUUCCCUUUUGACUCUUCCAUGUUUCUUUGUUUUACUUUAUAAUUUAUUGACUGCUUUAUCUUUUCCUGUCUGGAUCUGUGGUAUCUUCUGUAAGUUUCCCCCUCUAGAUCACCCUGGAAGCACUACAAGCAAAUAUUAUUCUACUAUGUCUCCGAGUACGUCUGUCUCUUUCCUGAUACAAACUUAGGUUUUUUGACAUCUUGUGCUGAGUUUGAACUGCUAGGAAGCAAGCUGAUUCCACACACACAGUUCCUAAACCCAACCAGCCUUGCACAUUCCACACUGGACUUGACUCUGUUCCUGUGGAUGCGUGUUUAGAUUUGGUGCUAGGUUUCUUCUCUUCUGGGGAUCGGCUUCUUCUCUUGUCAGGAUACACAUAUGACUUUCAGAACCAGAUCAGUGCUGAGCCUGGACAAGAGGAGAGCUGCCUUUCAACCAGCAGGGAAGGGGUCUCUCUAGUCCAGUUGGGACUUCCUCUCAGUUGGCUUGGAUAGCUCAAUUGAUAAGGCUCCUGACCCUGAAUCUGAGAGUCCAGGCUUCAGUUUCCUGCUACCUUUAGAGGUGGCUUCUGGAAGUUUAAUAGUGGCUCAGACUGUGGCUUAGAAUUCAAACAAAAGAACAUUAAGAAAAAUAAAAUAAAAAGGAAGAAAGAAAUCA